AUCCAUUUGAUGAGUCCCAAAUAAGAUGAAAGGCACGUUCUGGAU
This 45-nucleotide non-coding RNA is filed under the name Schistosoma mattheei. The record is from RNAcentral. Lineage: Eukaryota; Metazoa; Platyhelminthes; Trematoda; Strigeidida; Schistosomatidae.